CUGAAUGCCACAAAGAGUGUCAGAGGAACAGGAAGUCUGCAGGAGAAUCGCAUAGCUACUUAAGAACCACACACCAACAAAUGCUGCUCACCACCCUGAGUAGCCUGGGGGCUCUGGCUGCAUGCAGUCAUGGAGAAUGAAGACCAAGAUUUCCACUCUCAGCUGUGAUGGGCAUGUCAAGAUUUUAAAGAAGUACUCGAGGUUGGGAAUCAAAUGCCUUGUUUGAAAACCCGAACACUCGUGAGCAGCUAUUGACUAG
This is a non-coding RNA of Peromyscus maniculatus bairdii (prairie deer mouse), 259 nucleotides long. The record is from RefSeq and is a predicted model, not a curated record. Lineage: Eukaryota; Metazoa; Chordata; Mammalia; Rodentia; Cricetidae.